AAAAAAUAAUAUUUGAGAUCCUGGACGAGGAAGGACUUUGGUGAAUGGGCUCAGACUGCUGAGGUUGUGAAUGAGGUAACUGAUACGCCCGGGGACCCUCUCGUGUACCCCCAGAUGUAAUUAUGAAAGAAUAUGUUACUUCUGUGAGCAAGUAAUGCAUUUUUUUCUCUUCUGUUUUUUGUCUCAUUUACGAAAUGUUCUGGCAACUGUGUUUGAUACAUGAGGGCGUUGCAACUAAUUAAAAAAAUAUCUCUUUUUCAUGCUGAAAGACGAUUCUGUGAUCUGCACGGUAGUCAAAGUGACUGCGGAAGGCUGCGACUGCUGCGAUUGUUUUUAAUUACCAGCUCUUCCCACGCUGUGGUCAAUGAAUCUCCCAUCUCCUGGACUGAAAUGUCUGACACUUGUAGAAUCAUUUAUUUGGGGCUGAGUCGCACACCUCCAGCAGCGCUUUAACAGUGGGCUGAUGGUACGCUGGCUAUAAUUACAUUUUCUUUAAGGAGCAGGGAGUGGGGAGGGGUGAAAAUAAGCUUGACCUUGUGCUUCUCAUGCAGUCCUUAGAGUAAGGGGUGGUGUCCAGCAUCAACUGUUGAAGGACGCCUUGGGCGCCGGAGAAACGAGCAGAUUAGCUGUGGCAGGAUUGAUUUCUUGCUCCUCAUGUCAAACAACCAACAUUGGGACCAGAACCUGCUGCUCUUUGCGUUUUGUUGGAUGCCUUUGGAAGACGGGACAGACGGGGCGGCCCUUUGGUGGCAAAGAGGAGGAUGAGCUGGGUCUCCAAACAGCUCCCUCUGGCUGCUCCAAGAAGCUGAACUGGUGGCUUCUGGUCCCUGGAAGCCAUGUCUGGUGGUCACAGGCCACUAUACACUGCUCACUUGACUGCUAACUCCACUUUUUAAGCUGAAUUAUGCAAGAAAUGCUGUGAAACAUCAGACAUUGAGGAGCUGAGGAAGAUCCUUCUCAAUGUAUGAACUCAUUUCUGGAUAAAAUCUGAGUCUCACCUGGAUUCCAGCUCCUCCGGAAAGGACAAAAAGUGGCCAGGAA
This 1041-nucleotide long non-coding RNA is filed under the name Columba livia (rock pigeon). RNAcentral describes it as "partial uncharacterized LOC102095784". Lineage: Eukaryota; Metazoa; Chordata; Aves; Columbiformes; Columbidae. The record is from RNAcentral.